This 428-nucleotide ribosomal RNA is filed under the name uncultured prokaryote. RNAcentral describes it as "bacterial SSU rRNA". It matches the Rfam family "Bacterial small subunit ribosomal RNA", at positions 355 to 774 of the family's 1533-position model. The record is from RNAcentral.
UGAGGAAUUUUGCGCAAUGGGAGCAAUCCUGACGCAGCAACGCCGCGUGGGUGAUGAAGGCCUUCGGGUCGUAAAGCCCUGUCAGGUGGGAAGAAUGUCCCGGGACUGAACAGGUUUCGGGAGUGACGGUACCACCAGAGGAAGCACCGGCUAACUCCGUGCCAGCAGCCGCGGUAAUACGGAGGGUGCGAGCGUUAUUCGGAAUUACUGGGCGGAAAGCGCGUGUAGGCGGUCCCGCAAGUCUGAUGUGAAAGCCCCGGGCUUAACCCGGGAAGUGCAUUGGAAACUGUGGGACUUGAGUACUGGAGAGGAUGGGGGAAUUCCCGGUGUAGAGGUGAAAUUCGUAGAGAUCGGGAGGAAUAUCAGUGGCGAAGGCGCCCAUCUGGACGGUAACUGACGCUGAGACGCGAAAGCGUGGGGAGCGAACA